This 380-nucleotide long non-coding RNA is filed under the name Coffea arabica (coffee). Its description in RNAcentral is "long non-coding RNA (CARA_LNC000520)". The record is from RNAcentral. Lineage: Eukaryota; Viridiplantae; Streptophyta; Magnoliopsida; Gentianales; Rubiaceae.
GGUUUCUUGAAUGCUGUUAUAUUUAUAUGGUACCAGAUAUUUAGCUUUACCUAUUCAUUUUUGGCUAGGAGAGAUAUUUAGAAAUGGGAUUGAAAUGCUUUCAUCAUUCAUAUUUUGAAGCUUCUUCAAGUUUUUUCAUUCUGUUUCGGCCAUGAAUAUCAAUAGUUUAUGAGUUUGAAUGGAUCCAGUAACAUCAGUAAAGGAUAGCUAUGGGCUUAAGGUAGGCUAUGUAAUGUUAUCAAAAGGCCAGAGCAUUUUAUGUCUUCCCUGGAUCCUUCUUCAGCUUAGCGGAACUUGGUAGGAUGCACUUAUAUUGCUGAGUACUGCCUCUAUUGAAAAGAUUUUCCUUCGUCAUGAGGGAUUGGUGGUUAAUCCCUGUG